AUUGAACGCUGGCGGAAUGCUUUACACGUGCAAGUCGAACGGCAGCACGGACUUCGGUCUGGUGGCGAGUGGCGAAUGGGUGAGUAAUGUAUCGGAACGUGCCCAGUCGUGGGGGAUAACGUAGUGAAAAUUACGCUAAUACCGCAUACGAUCUAUGGAUGAAAGCGGGGGAUCGCAAGACCUCGCGCGAUUGGAGCGGCCGAUAUCAGAUUAGGUAGUUGGGGGGGUAAAGGCCCACCAAGCCAACGAUGUGUAGCUGGUCUGAGAGGACGACCAGCCGCAUUGGAACGGGGACACGGUCCAGACUCCUACGGGAGGCAGCAGUGGGGAAUUUUGGACAAUGGGCGAAAGCCUGAUCCAGCCAUUCCGCGUGCAGGAUGAAGGCCCUCGGGUUGUAAACUGCUUUUGUACAGAACGAAAAGGUUUCUACUAAUACUAGGAGCUCAUGACGGUACUGUAAGAAUAAGCACCGGCUAACUACGUGCCAGCAGCCGCCGUAA
Molecule: ribosomal RNA, 500 nt
Filed under: uncultured bacterium
Lineage: Bacteria
Description: partial 16S ribosomal RNA
Rfam family: Bacterial small subunit ribosomal RNA
Source: RNAcentral